Molecule: long non-coding RNA, 1517 nt
Filed under: Hordeum vulgare
Lineage: Eukaryota; Viridiplantae; Streptophyta; Magnoliopsida; Poales; Poaceae
Description: long non-coding RNA (HVUL_LNC010290)
Source: RNAcentral
GUGCAUGACGCUGGUUGUCUCAACCACGCAUGUCCGAUGGGACAUCAUAGUUGACACCGGGCACCCGGCUGGCUGGCACAGCCAGCUGGUCGGAGUAGCCGGUCGUAGCUGGGAAUCGGAGCAGCCGGCCCAGGCGGACAGGCACCUCGUUCGUCUCGCUGUCUUAUGGGUAACCGGGGGUCAUCCCCCCGGCAAUCCCCUUGAGAUUGCCGAUCAUCCUCCUAGUCAGCCUGCUCGCCGUUAACGACCUUGGGUUUGAUGACCUUCAGCCACAGGCCAAAGUGGUGUUGGACCCUCAAUAAGGCCUUGCAAACUGUGAUGAAAUAAGAAAGAUGGGUCAUGGAGUUCGGGGGGAGAUCGUCGAAGUUAAGCCCAUAGUAAAAUGUGAUCCCUCGAACAAAUGGGUGAAGGGGAAAACUUAAGCCUCUAAUGAAAUGAGGAACAAAAACUACUCUUUCCCCAUCUUUAGGAGUGGGGAUAAUCUGGUCAUUCUCAGGUGCAUGGUGGGCUAUGUUUUCUCGAAGAUAGGUGCAACUCUUCAGCUCCAAAAUAUCCUUUUCAGAGACGGAGGAGACCUCCCACUUGCCCUUGGAACCGCGCAGGCCAUUGCCGGACUGGUGAGGGGAUUCGAGAGCUCGGGAGGAGAAGGAGAGCUAGGGUGUUGGAGCUUUGUGAUGGUGAGCGAGAUCUGAGGUACGUGAAGAGGCUAAGGUGACGUUUUUUACCUUUUAUAACUCACAAGAAUGUCGAAGGUCUCGCGGCUGUAUCAUAAACUCCGCCACUUACCAAGAAAAUUGUGAUUAUAGGUGUGUGGGAUAAACCCAAACCACAAACUGUAUCCCUUGAAAGGGGGGCACAAUCUCCAUGAUGGGACGCGUCAAUAAAACGAUCUCGAGCCGCUCGUUCAAAUAAACGGGCCCUAGCCAACUACGGCCUUUCGAAUUAGGAAAGAUGCCGCUCGUUGUUAAACGGUAGGCCUAGGGAUAAAAAAUUAUAUAGAUUUUUUCUAUGUGUGUAAAGGAGAAGGAGUCAUCGAGACCCGAACUAUCUUCGGUUAAAGGAAAAAAGAGGAACUCGCCUCACAAGCCAGACCAUCCGUGACGUCAUCAAUGGAGGAGGAUUUCGGUGUUGGAGGCUAGUUCGGGGGCUACUGAGGGAGUCCGAGAUUAGGGGGUCCUUGGGCCUCCUACCUAUCCUUAUGGGUCGGACUCUGUGUCAUGUUCGACCGUUGGUGGUAGUGUUGGAUUCAAGAUGGACUCUUCUGAAGGCUUGGUGUGUAAUCCAAGGAGAUGUAGUAAUUAGCAUAUUCCUUCUCUGUUUUAACCAACUUUGUGUAAACCCUAACACCCCUGGCAUCUAUAUAAGCCAGGGGGUCAUAGCUCAUAGGACACAUCAAGCUCAUUAUGAUUAGGAUUUAGACCACAAAAUUGAUCUCGGAGUAGAUCAACUCUGUACCCUAUACUACAUCAUGAAUAACAACAAGAGCAGGACCUAGGGUUUUACCUCCAACAACAGGG